CCGAAGUAGCUCAGUUGGUUAGAGCAUCAGAUUACGGAUCUGACGGUCGCGGGUUCGACUCCCGUCACGCAUCA
This 74-nucleotide transfer RNA is filed under the name Rhodopirellula bahusiensis. RNAcentral's name for it is "tRNA-Arg". The stretch from base 6 to 66 matches the Rfam family "tRNA", at positions 7 to 64 of the family's 71-position model. From Rfam's summary of the family: Transfer RNA (tRNA) molecules are approximately 80 nucleotides in length. Their secondary structure includes four short double-helical elements and three loops (D, anti-codon, and T loops). Lineage: Bacteria; Pseudomonadati; Planctomycetota; Planctomycetia; Pirellulales; Pirellulaceae. The record is from RNAcentral.